GCAGAAGAGGACAGUGGAACUCCAUGUGUAGCGGUGGAAUGCGUAGAUAUAUGGAAGAACACCAGUGGCGAAGGCGGCUGUCUAGUCUGUAACUGACGCUGAGGCUCGAAAGCAUGGGUAGCGAACAGGAUUAGAUACCCUGGUAGUCCAUGCCGUAAACGAUGAGUGCUAGGUGUUGGAGGGUUUCCGCCCUUCAGUGCCGCAGCUAACGCAUUAAGCACUCCGCCUGGGGAGUACGACCGCAAGGUUGAAACUCAAAGGAAUUGACGGGGGCCCGCACAAGCGGUGGAGCAUGUGGUUUAAUUCGAAGCUACGCGAAGAACCUUACCAGGUCUUGACAUACUAUGCAAAUCCUAGAGAUAGGACGUUCCCUUCGGGGACAUGGAUACAGGUGGUGCAUGGUUGUCGUCAGCUCGUGUCGUGAGAUGUUGGGUUAAGUCCCGCAACGAGCGCAACCCUUAUUAUCAGUUGCCAGCAUUAAGUUGGGCACUCUGGUGAGACUGCCGGUGACAAACCGGAGGAAGGUGGGGAUGACGUCAAAUCAUCAUGCCCCUUAUGACCUGGGCUACACACGUGCUACAAUGGAUGGUACAACGAGUUGCGAACUCGCGAGAGUAAGCUAAUCUCUUAAAGCCAUUCUCAGUUCGGAUUGUAGGCUGCAACUCGCCUACAUGAAGUCGGAAUCGCUAGUAAUCGCGGAUCAGCAUGCCGCGGUGAAUACGUUCCCGGGCCUUGUACACACCGCCCGUCACACCAUGAGAGUUUGUAACACCCAAAGUCGGUGGGGUAACCUUUUAGGAACCAGCCGCCUAAGGUGGGACAGAUGAUUAGGGUGAAGUCGUAACAAGGUAGCCGUA
This 857-nucleotide ribosomal RNA is filed under the name uncultured bacterium. RNAcentral's name for it is "bacterial SSU rRNA". It matches the Rfam family "Bacterial small subunit ribosomal RNA", at positions 648 to 1504 of the family's 1533-position model. The record is from RNAcentral.